GACGAACGCUGGCGGCGUGCCUAACACAUGCAAGUCGAACGGGUGAUUCCUUCGGGGAUCACUUAGUGGCGAACGGGUGAGUAACGCGUGAGGAACCUGCCUUUCAGUGGGGGACAACAGUUGGAAACGACUGCUAAUACCGCAUAACAUGUACGGAUCGCAUGGUCUGUACAUCAAAGCUUUAUGUGCUGAAAGAUGGCCUCGCGUCUGAUUAGCUAGUUGGUGGGUAACGGCCCACCAAGGCGACGAUCAGUAGCCGGUCUGAGAGGAUGAACGGCCACAUUGGGACUGAGAUACGGCCCAGACUCCUACGGGAGGCAGCAGUGGGGAAUAUUGGGCAAUGGGGGAAACCCUGACCCAGCAACGCCGCGUGAA
Molecule: ribosomal RNA, 375 nt
Filed under: uncultured bacterium
Lineage: Bacteria
Description: bacterial SSU rRNA
Rfam family: Bacterial small subunit ribosomal RNA
Source: RNAcentral